Corvus hawaiiensis (hawaiian crow) is the source of this 134-nucleotide long non-coding RNA. RefSeq lists it as uncharacterized. The record is from RefSeq and is a predicted model, not a curated record. NCBI's taxonomy places the organism in Eukaryota, Metazoa, Chordata, Aves, Passeriformes, Corvidae. The transcript is spliced from 4 exons.
UGAUGAUCUGUCAUUUGUAUGUUUGCCUAGCUGUGCUUAGAACAAGGAAUAGAAACAUUGCUAAGCUGGUGUAGGGAACAAGGACAAUUACCGAUUUCCUCCCUUGGUGGAAACCUGUUCAAAAGUCAAGCAAG